This 253-nucleotide ribosomal RNA is filed under the name uncultured bacterium. RNAcentral's name for it is "partial 16S ribosomal RNA". It matches the Rfam family "Bacterial small subunit ribosomal RNA", at positions 524 to 776 of the family's 1533-position model. The record is from RNAcentral.
UACAGAGGCCCCGAGCGUUGUUCGGAUUUACUGGGCGUAAAGCGGAUGUAGGUGGUCAUGUAAGUCAGAUGUGAAAGCCCUGGGCCUAACCCGGGAACUGCAUUUGAUACUGCGUGACUGGAGUGCAGAAGAGGAGAGUGGAAUUCCUAGUGUAGGGGUGAAAUCCGUAGAUAUUAGGAGGAAUACCGAUGGCGAAGGCAACUCUCUGGUCUGUAACUGACACUGAGAUCCGAAAGCGUGGGUAGCAAACAGG